Molecule: unclassified non-coding RNA, 387 nt
Filed under: soil metagenome
Description: partial contains 5.8S ribosomal RNA, internal transcribed spacer 2, and large subunit ribosomal RNA
Rfam family: 5.8S ribosomal RNA (bases 1-120)
Source: RNAcentral
GAUGAAGAACGUAGCGAAAUGCGAUAAGUAAUGUGAAUUGCAGAAUUCAGUGAAUCAUCGAAUCUUUGAACGCACCUUGCACCCUUUGGUAUUCCAAAGGGUAUGCUCGUUUGAGUGUCAUUGUACUCUCACACUUCUAAUUCCUUUCGGGAUUGGGAGCGGUGGACUUGGGUGUUGCUGCUUUAGUUGUGGCUCACCUCAAAUAAGUUAGUGCAACUCUUGGUUGGACAUAGUACGGCGUGAUAAGUGUCUUCGCCGGCGCCUCUGUAAGGAGGGUGGCCGAUCGGGAGCUCUGUGCUUCAAACCGUCUUCGGACAAUCUUUGACACCUUGACCUCAAAUCGAGUAGGACUACCCGCUGAACUUAAGCAUAUCAAUAAGCGGAGGA